GAUGAACGCUGGCGGCGUGCCUAAUACAUGCAAGUCGAGCGAACGGACGAGAAGCUUGCUUCUCUGAUGUUAGCGGCGGACGGGUGGGUAACACGUGGAUAACCUACCUAUAAGACUGGGAUAACUUCGGGAAACCGGAGCUAAUACCGGAUAAUAUUUUGAACCGCAUGGUUCAAAAGUGAAAGACGGUCUUGCUGUCACUUAUAGAUGGAUCCGCGCUGCAUUAGCUAGUUGGUAAGGUAACGGCUUACCAAGGCAACGAUGCAUAGCCGACCUGAGAGGGUGAUCGGCCACACUGGAACUGAGACACGGUCCAGACUCCUACGGGAGGCAGCAGUAGGGAAUCUUCCGCAAUGGGCGAAAGCCUGACGGAGCAACGCCGCGUGAGUGAUGAAGGUCUUCGGAUCGUAAACCUCUGUUAUUAGGGAAGAACAUAUGUGUAAGUAACUGUGCACAUCUUGACGGUACCUAAUCAGAAAGCCACGGCUAACUACGUG
RNAcentral lists this ribosomal RNA (497 nucleotides) under uncultured bacterium. Its description in RNAcentral is "partial 16S ribosomal RNA". It matches the Rfam family "Bacterial small subunit ribosomal RNA", at positions 28 to 507 of the family's 1533-position model. The record is from RNAcentral.